UGGCUCAGUGGUAGAGUGCUUGCCUAGCAUGCAUGAGGACCUGGGUUCAAUUCCUUG
RNAcentral lists this transfer RNA (57 nucleotides) under Dipodomys ordii (Ord's kangaroo rat). It matches the Rfam family "tRNA", at positions 8 to 63 of the family's 71-position model. From Rfam's summary of the family: Transfer RNA (tRNA) molecules are approximately 80 nucleotides in length. Their secondary structure includes four short double-helical elements and three loops (D, anti-codon, and T loops). Lineage: Eukaryota; Metazoa; Chordata; Mammalia; Rodentia; Heteromyidae. The record is from Rfam by way of RNAcentral.